This 516-nucleotide ribosomal RNA is filed under the name Metschnikowia pulcherrima. RNAcentral describes it as "partial large subunit ribosomal RNA". It matches the Rfam family "Eukaryotic large subunit ribosomal RNA", at positions 52 to 655 of the family's 3401-position model. The record is from RNAcentral. Lineage: Eukaryota; Fungi; Ascomycota; Pichiomycetes; Serinales; Metschnikowiaceae.
GGAGGAAAAGAAACCAACAGGGAUUGCCUCAGUAACGGCGAGUGAAGCGGCAAAAGCUCAAAUUUGAAAUCCCCCGGGAAUUGUAAUUUGAAGAGAUUUGGGUCCGGCCGGCRGGGGUUAAGUCCACUGGAAAGUGGCGCCACAGAGGGUGACAGCCCCGUGAACCCCYUCAAMGCCCUCAUCCCAGAUCUCCAAGAGUCGAGUUGUUUGGGAAUGCAGCUCUAAGUGGGUGGUAAAUUCCAUCUAAAGCUAAAUACCGGCGAGAGACCGAUAGCGAACAAGUACAGUGAUGGAAAGAUGAAAAGCACUUUGAAAAGAGAGUGAAAAAGUACGUGAAAUUGUUGAAAGGGAAGGGCUUGCAAGCAGACACUUAACUGGGCCAGCAUCGGGGCGGCGGGAAACAAAACCACCGGGGAAUGUACCUUUCGAGGAUUAUAACCCCGGUCUCAAUUUCCUUGUUGCCCCGAGGCCUGCAAUCUAAGGAUGCUGGCGUAAUGGUUGCAAGUCGCCCGUCUU